This 498-nucleotide ribosomal RNA is filed under the name uncultured bacterium. RNAcentral describes it as "partial 16S ribosomal RNA". It matches the Rfam family "Bacterial small subunit ribosomal RNA", at positions 28 to 507 of the family's 1533-position model. The record is from RNAcentral.
GACGAACGCUGGCGGCAUGCCUAAUACAUGCAAGUCGAGCGGGCGAAUCGAGAACUUGCUUUUGAUGCGUUGGCGGCGUACGUGUGGGGAAAGCGUGUGCAACCGGCCGGGUAGCCGGAGAUGGCACCGAGAGAUCAGUGCUAAUACCGUGUAACACGAAAGGUCGCAUGACGUUUCGGUGGGGCACGCCGCAGGCUGGCGCGACAGGAUGGGCCCGCGGUACAUUGGCUAGUUGGUGAGGUAACGGCUCACCAAGGCGACGAUGCGUAGCCGACCUGAGAGGGUGAUCGGCCACACUGCGACUGAGACACGGCCCAGACUCCUACGGGAGGAAGCAGCAGGGAACCUCGCGCAAUGGCCGAAAGUCUGACGGAGCAACGCCGGGUGAGCGAAGAAGGCAUUCGGGUCGUAAAGUUCUGUUGUUAGGGAAGAACAAGUAACGCAGUAACUGGAGUUACCGUGACGGUACCUAACGAGAAAGCAACGGCUAACUCCGUG